CUCGAUUCCUUUUGAAAUUUUGAUUCCACUUAUGAUGAAUCUUUAAAAGCCCUUUUUCCUUCAUGAGAUAUGCAGAAAAUAAUCAAAGAAUGUCUUCAACCAUUUAGUUUUUUUCAGCUCUUUUUUGCAUAAACUUUCCAAUUUCAUUUUUAUUUACAUCAUAAAUUAAUGUAUAAGGGGGGUACGCCCAUCACACAAAGAUCAGAGGAGCUAUAUCCGUUUCACCUCCCGUGUUUUACAGCGUCCUGAGGAUGCUAACCGCUUGCGAACCAAUUAAAAUGCUGCAUCUUCUAGAUGAGCCGUCUGGCCAUGUGAUCAUAAUCAAUAAACCGGAAAUAGGUUGUCAUUUGAGAAUGAUAACCUUAUACCAAGCAUUUACUUCGCCAUGUAAUCUAUGUUGGUAGCGCAUUUCGAUGGUUCUAAAGCCAGUUUUCCACUUCAAUCCUAUCGUACCGAAACGUAGCGCGUUUCCUGACCACUAUAGAGUGGAACUAAUGACUUCGACACAAACGAAAAUGCUACAGUACGUUACGAUACGGUUGAAAUGUAAAAUUGCCUUAAAGUGCAUUUGAUAUGAAAUUUAUUAUUUUCUUAAAUGAAAGAACUCUUUAAACUGUAGUGUAACUUAUUUUUCAGUUUCUUGUUUUUAUGGUUUGUUCCCGAGAUAUUUCAAUUUGUUUGAUAUGUAAAUGAGUGUGAAUAUGUCCGCUAAUUUAUGACGUCAUGUUGGUUGCAAGCUGUUCGAAACGGUUGAAUAUCACUGCUUUCAUCCAAGAUGAUAAUUUCAAACUUCACUCACUUGUAAAAGUGAUGAAACACUGUAGAAAAACGUGAACAGAUAUCUACAGUUUUUAGAGUUAAUAGAUCUAUAACCUGCAGUGUAAGUUGAGCUUGCAACCAACGCGACGUCAUAAAUUAGCGGACAUAUUCACACUCAUUUCCAUAUCAAACAAAUUGAAAUAUCUCGGGAACAAACCA
Molecule: non-coding RNA, 978 nt
Organism: Paramuricea clavata
Lineage: Eukaryota; Metazoa; Cnidaria; Anthozoa; Malacalcyonacea; Plexauridae
Source: the annotation of a GenBank genome assembly